This 1260-nucleotide long non-coding RNA is filed under the name Chinchilla lanigera (long-tailed chinchilla). Its description in RNAcentral is "lncRNA (ENSCLAG00000028029.1)". The record is from RNAcentral. Lineage: Eukaryota; Metazoa; Chordata; Mammalia; Rodentia; Chinchillidae.
UUCUGUCUUGACAUUCCCCCGCCCAGUAGCCAGGGAAGCAGACUCCCUCCUAAGCCACAGAGGAUGAACGUUGGUGGAUCUCAGCCACGCGGGGUCUUCCUGCCUCCGCAUCAGUGACUAGCUCAGGCAUCGGCGUGUUAUGCAGCCCUGGCGAAGGACGCCUAAGGGGAGACCCACGAGGCCAAGGCUUUCGGAAAGAAUCUCAGAGAAGCUGACUCAGAGCCUCGCUUUCCCUGAAGGUGGAACUAACCUCUCUGACUAUGGAAGAAAAAUGAUAGCCUUGCUCACUGUUUGAGCUGGAAGGUUCUGACACAUAAAUGCCAGCUAUCGUGUUCCUCCAUAGUUGAUGGGGUCAACAGGAAAAUAAGCUGAUGGGUACGGGGUAGAAACAGUGAAAGAGUUUACAAAAUAAAGAAAGGUGACUUUUUUUGUAGACAGAAGAAUCACCUAGAAAAAAAAGAGUUGGCUGAAAAUGCCGGAGGAGGGCCGGGGAUGUAGCUCAGCGGCACAAGCGCCUGCCUGGCGUGUGCAAGGUCCUGAGUUCAAUUCUCGGUACCAAAAAAAAAAAGAAAGAAAGAAAAUGCCGGAGGGAAGAGGACUAGCAGAAGAGGCAGAAGAAGACUACCGCUCUGUAAGUAGACACCGCACACCAGUCACCGGGCAAGGGGUGGGAUGUCGUGGGGAACGGGAAGGCAAGUCUCUGCUCUUAGGGAACUUCUGUCUGGGGAGGUGGGGAGGCCGUGAAUGUGUGGACCAGGUGCUCAGCGGCCUCUGUCUCCCCCUGCCCAGCCAGUUCCAGCCUGGUUCCACUGAACAGUUCAACCAACCAGUCAACACUUCCGACGUCCUUGCUUAAAGAAGCUCCGCCCCAUUUCUGGAGGAGGCUGGGGCGGCCUCGUGCAGGAGGAGGAACGAGGCUGGAGCAGCUCCUCUGUGCGUCUCUGGAUUCCCUUCCAAAAUGCUGUCAGCACUACCAGUUGGAAAAUAUUUUUCUCCCUCCCUUUGUCUUUCUUAUUAAAAAAAAAAAAAAAAAAAAAAAAGCCAUCUGGUGUCAGAUUCACUCCUGGCACAUCAUAAAGGGUAGCACUAAAAAUGUCCCUGAAAAACUAAAAGCAAAACCGCAGCAGAAUACACGGGGUUUCAUCUCAGCAUCCUAGAAUGUCAGAGUCGCUAGGGGAUGCGGAGAGCAAACCCUUCCGUGUAACGCAGGAGGAAACUGAGGCCAACGGAGAACUGGUCAUUCUUUUUUUUUUUUUUUUU